This 484-nucleotide ribosomal RNA is filed under the name uncultured bacterium. RNAcentral's name for it is "partial 16S ribosomal RNA". It matches the Rfam family "Bacterial small subunit ribosomal RNA", at positions 30 to 507 of the family's 1533-position model. The record is from RNAcentral.
AUUGAACGCUGGCGGCAGGCCUAACACAUGCAAGUCGAGCGGACGAAGGGAGCUUGCUCCUGGAUUCAGCGGCGGACGGGCGAGUAAUGCCUAGGAAUCUGCCUGGUAGUGGGGGAUAACGUCCGGAAACGGGCGCUAAUACCGCAUACGUCCUGAGGGAGAAAGUGGGGGAUCUUCGGACCUCACGCUAUCAGAUGAGCCUAGGUCGGAUUAGCUAGUUGGUGGGGUAAAGGCCUACCAAGGCGACGAUCCGUAACUGGUCUGAGAGGAUGAUCAGUCACACUGGAACUGAGACACGGUCCAGACUCCUACGGGAGGCAGCAGUGGGGAAUAUUGGACAAUGGGCGAAAGCCUGAUCCAGCCAUGCCGCGUGUGUGAAGAAGGUCUUCGGAUUGUAAAGCACUUUAAGUUGGGAGGAAGAGCAGUAAGUUAAUACCUUGCUGUUUUGACGUUACCAACAGAAUAAGCACCGGCUAACUUCGUG